AAAGAAGAAAAAUUCCAAACAAAGAAAGAUUUCAAAUUCUUAAGAUAUUUACACCACUUUUCCAAGAUCUCAUAGGUAAUUAACAGAUAGGGGAAAAAAAGUUAAUACCACACAAAUAAGAAUAUACUUUUAGUGUGCUGCUUUUAUUUUGUGAUUGUAAUUUUUAGACAAUUUAACUAAACAAUUGGCUAAAUACAUAUCCUUAGACAUCAAAUGGUUGUGUUCCAAAAGAAGUUUUGAGAAAAAA
RNAcentral lists this unclassified non-coding RNA (247 nucleotides) under Hevea brasiliensis (rubber tree). The record is from RNAcentral. Lineage: Eukaryota; Viridiplantae; Streptophyta; Magnoliopsida; Malpighiales; Euphorbiaceae.